UGGGGAAUCUUGCGCAAUGGGCGAAAGCCUGACGCAGCAACGCCGCGUGAGCGAAGACGGCCUUCGGGUUGUAAAGCUCUGUCAGGAGGGACGAAGCCACUCGGGUGAAUAGCCCAGAGGGUGACGGUACCUCCAAAGGAAGCCCCGGCUAACUACGUGCCAGCAGCCGCGGUAAUACGUAGGGGGUGAGCGUUGUCCGGAAUCAUUGGGCGUAAAGCGCGUGGAGGCGGCGUGUCAAGUCCGGUGUGAAAUCUCGGGGCUCAACCCCGAAACUGCACGGGAAACUGGCGUGCUAGAGUCCGGAAGAGGAGAAUGGAAUUCCGGGUGUAGCGGUGAAAUGCGCAGAUAUCAGGAAGAACACCGGUGGCGAAGGCGGUUCUCUGGGACGGUACUGACGCUGAGACGCGAAAGCGUGGGGAGCGAACA
This 426-nucleotide ribosomal RNA is filed under the name uncultured prokaryote. RNAcentral's name for it is "bacterial SSU rRNA". It matches the Rfam family "Bacterial small subunit ribosomal RNA", at positions 355 to 774 of the family's 1533-position model. The record is from RNAcentral.